CUACGGGCCGCACCAGUGGGGAAUAUUGCACAAUGGGCGCAGGCCUGAUGCAGCCAUGCCGCGUGUAUGAAGAAGGCCUUCGGGUUGUAAAGUACUUUCAGCGGGGAGGAAGGGAGUAAAGUUAAUACCUUUGCUCAUUGACGUUACCCGCAGAAGAAGCACCGGCUAACUCCGUGCCAGCAGCCGCGGUAAUACGGAGGGUGCAAGCGUUAAUCGGAAUUACUGGGCGUAAAGCGCACGCAGGCGGUUUGUUAAGUCAGAUGUGAAAUCCCCGGGCUCAACCUGGGAACUGCAUCUGAUACUGGCAAGCUUGAGUCUCGUAGAGGGGGGUAGAAUUCCAGGUGUAGCGGUGAAAUGCGUAGAGAUCUGGAGGAAUUCCGGUGGCGAAGGCGGCCCCCUGGACGAAGACUGACGCUCAGGUGCGAAAGCGUGGGGAGCAAACAGGAUUAGAUACCCGAGUAGUC
This 464-nucleotide ribosomal RNA is filed under the name uncultured bacterium. RNAcentral describes it as "partial 16S ribosomal RNA". It matches the Rfam family "Bacterial small subunit ribosomal RNA", at positions 339 to 795 of the family's 1533-position model. The record is from RNAcentral.